UACGGGGGGAGCAAGCGUUGUUCGGAUUUACUGGGCGUAAAGGGCGCGUAGGCGGCCACUGCAAGUCGGUUGUGAAAUCUCCGGGCUUAACCCGGAAAGGUCAAUCGAUACUGCAGGGCUAGAGUGCAGAAGGGGCAACUGGAAUUCUCGGUGUAGCGGUGAAAUGCGUAGAUAUCGAGAGGAACACCAGUGGCGAAGGCGGCUAUCUGGACGGUUUCUGACGCUAAGGAGCGAAAGCGUGGGGAGCGAACAGG
Molecule: ribosomal RNA, 254 nt
Filed under: uncultured bacterium
Lineage: Bacteria
Description: partial 16S ribosomal RNA
Rfam family: Bacterial small subunit ribosomal RNA
Source: RNAcentral